AAGUUUGUAGCGAAUCGCAGUUAGUUUCGACCUAACCUAUGGUAACCAAAUAUUACCCGAACUUA
This 65-nucleotide transfer RNA is filed under the name Austrogymnocnemia maculata. RNAcentral's name for it is "tRNA-Arg". Lineage: Eukaryota; Metazoa; Arthropoda; Insecta; Neuroptera; Myrmeleontidae. The record is from RNAcentral.